RNAcentral lists this ribosomal RNA (198 nucleotides) under Listeria monocytogenes. RNAcentral's name for it is "partial 23S ribosomal RNA". It matches the Rfam family "Bacterial large subunit ribosomal RNA", at positions 2730 to 2925 of the family's 2925-position model. The record is from RNAcentral. Lineage: Bacteria; Bacillati; Bacillota; Bacilli; Caryophanales; Listeriaceae.
CAGGAGCAUCGCUGGGUAGCUAUGUGUGGCAGGGAUAAACGCUGAAAGCAUCUAAGCGUGAAGCCCCCCUCAAGAUGAGAUUUCCCAUUUCUUCGGAAAGUAAGAUCCCUGAAAGAUGAUCAGGUAGAUAGGUUUGGAGUGGAAGUGUAGCGAUACAUGGAGCGGACAAAUACUAAUCGAUCGAGGACUUAACCAAAA